This 253-nucleotide ribosomal RNA is filed under the name uncultured bacterium. RNAcentral describes it as "partial 16S ribosomal RNA". It matches the Rfam family "Bacterial small subunit ribosomal RNA", at positions 524 to 776 of the family's 1533-position model. The record is from RNAcentral.
UACAGAGGGGGCAAGCGUUGUUCGGAAUUACUGGGCGUAAAGCGCGUGUAGGCGGCCUCUUCAGUCUGGUGUGAAAGCCCGGGGCUCAACCCCGGAAGUGCAUUGGAUACUGGGAGGCUGGAGUACCGGAGAGGAGGGUGGAAUUCCUGGUGUAGCGGUGAAAUGCGUAGAUAUCAGGAGGAACACCUGUGGCGAAGGCGGCCCUCUGGACGGAUACUGACGCUGAGACGCGAAAGCGUGGGGAGCAAACAGG